CGUGCCUAAUACAUGCAAGUCGAACGCUUCUUUCCUCCCGGUGCUUGCACUCAAUUGGAAAGAGGAGUGGCGGACGGGUGAGUAACACGUGGGUAACCUACCCAUCAGAGGGGGAUAACACUUGGAAACAGGUGCUAAUACCGCAUAACAGUUUAUGCCGCAUGGCAUAAGAGUGAAAGGCGCUUUCGGGUGUCGCUGAUGGAUGGACCCGCGGUGCAUUAGCUAGUUGGUGAGGUAACGGCUCACCAAGGCCACGAUGCAUAGCCGACCUGAGAGGGUGAUCGGCCCACUGGGACUGAGACACGGCCCAGACUCCUACGGGAGGCAGCAGUAGGGAAUCUUCGGCAAUGGACGAAAGUCUGACCGAGCAACGCCCGUGAGUGAAGAAGGUUUUCGGAUCGUAAAACUUGUUGUUAGAGAAGAACAACGUUAGUAACUGAACGUCCCUGAG
RNAcentral lists this ribosomal RNA (451 nucleotides) under Enterococcus faecalis. RNAcentral's name for it is "bacterial SSU rRNA". It matches the Rfam family "Bacterial small subunit ribosomal RNA", at positions 43 to 477 of the family's 1533-position model. Lineage: Bacteria; Bacillati; Bacillota; Bacilli; Lactobacillales; Enterococcaceae. The record is from RNAcentral.